UUUAAACCUACUAAUGUCAUUUUGCUGAUGGGACCUCGGGAUGUCAAUUGUCCAACAUGGCUACUGUCAGUCCUUUUCCUCUGUAUCAGCACAACAUAUUAUCUCAGAUGUGUACAUCUGAAUUUGGAAGUCUCCAAAUUGCAGGCUAUGUCUACAUGGCAAUGAAUCAUAACCAAUCGGCCUCCAAAGCCCUUUCUUUUCAAACUAUACUUAGGGUUUUGGGAUAAGGAAAGAACUGACCCUUUGAGACCUUGAUAUUUUAAGCUUUGCGAGCUGAUUUAGCCCAUUCCACCUUCCUACAAACUCCAUGUUUCCCAGUUGCCUGGACAACAUACAGCCUCCCGAAACCCAACCUUCCAGCCCUCAGUCCUGCCCUCAAGAGAAAUUUGCCACCAAGGAUUGGCUCCCAGGACCCAGGCCCCACCUCAGGCUCCUCGCUAGUUGGGCCUUCUCUCUGCCACUCCCCACGGGUGGGUCACUCCACAGGGAGCCCCAAUACUGGCAGGAGAGGAUCCUACAGGUAGGAAGAGGGGGUUGAGGAUGAUGGGAAGAGGGAGGGGAGCAGGUACAGGGAUUUAUCUAAAAGAGAGUUGUGAGGAGUGACUUCCGUACAGUCAGCCUGGUUGAGAGAAAAAACUUCACCCUCCCCGUUGACCCCAACCCUGCCUGAGGUUCCAAAGAGACUGUGAACUGACUUUUCUGAAGAGUAUGAGAGACAAAUUUGGAGUAGAACCAGGAGACUCCCCUGAGACUCCUGAUUCAGUCAGGAAAGCAUCCCUGUGUCCAGACCUAAACAUAAGGUCCCCUCCUUCUCCCAGGACAGCAAGGAGAUGCCACUUAAAAACAAAGAAAAAGGGAAGAAAUCUGGGGCGCAGAAGAAAAAGAACUGGGGUGCAGAUGUGGAGGCUGAGUCCAGGCACAGGCUGGUGGUGCUGGAGAAGGAGCUGCUCCGAGACCACUUGGCUCUACGGAGGGAUGAAGCCCGUCGAGCCAAGGCUUCCGAAGACCAGCUGAAGCAGAGGCUGCAAAGGGUGGAGGCUGAGCUGGAAGGGGCCCGAAGUGAAGGGAAGGCCAUAUAUGCAGGUGUGUGGUCUGUUGAGCAGGUGGGCAGGAGACAGGGGCCUGGAGGAAGACAACCAGCAGGGUCAGAUGAUGCAAGGAAGGGAAACAAGGAGGGCUUCCGACUGCCAGGCCUGGUCUUGGUCUUCCCCGAACAGUACAAAUCAGGCAGGAUCCUGCAGGAAUCAAAGGCAGAGAUGAGUCGCCAGUGCCAUGCCCUGCAGGAGGAUAUGCAAUCCCGCAGCAAGCAGCUGGAGGAAGAAGUCAAGGGCCUUCGGGGGCAGCUAGAUACCUUUGAAGACUGGUCAAGGAUAGAGUGUCACCAUCCUGCUGUCUUUCAUCCUGCCUGCCCCCAGAGGCAUGCCAAAGGGAAGCUGCGGCUGCCCGGGAAGAGGCUGAACAAGCUGUAAGAGAGCGGGACCAGGCCCUGUCUCAGCUUCGGACCCACGUGGCAGACAUGGAGGCAAAGUAUGAGGAAAUCUUACAGGACAGUCUGGACAGGCUCUUGGCCAAGCUGAGAGCCAUCAAGUCGCAGUGGGAUGGGACGGCAUUUAGACUCCAUGCCAGGCACAAGGAGCAGCUACGCCAGUUUGGACUCACCGCCCUGGAUCUUUGAGGCCACCAGCCCCUAGUCUCUAGUGUUCUCUGAGGCGCCAGCAAUAAAGUGUCUUGAUGUAGAACUCA
Molecule: RNA transcript, 1743 nt
Organism: Cercocebus atys (sooty mangabey)
Lineage: Eukaryota; Metazoa; Chordata; Mammalia; Primates; Cercopithecidae
Gene: DRC12
Gene name: coiled-coil domain containing 153
Exons: 6
Source: RefSeq, a predicted model, not a curated record